RNAcentral lists this small RNA (4552 nucleotides) under Pongo abelii (Sumatran orangutan). RNAcentral describes it as "retained intron". Lineage: Eukaryota; Metazoa; Chordata; Mammalia; Primates; Hominidae. The record is from RNAcentral.
GCGAUGCGGCGGGGACUGGGCGCGGGGGGAGGCGCGUCGCGAGGCGAGCGUCCUCCUUUUGUGCGAGCGCCGGCGGCUCGGCUUCUCGAAGGAGAAGAAACUGAGGCCUGGAAUUUGAUUAAUUCUUUCAAGGUUACCCAGUUGAUAGAAGGACAAGGACAGAAUCACCAGCACUGGCUGAAGGUACCUUAACAUGGGGAAUCUUCUUAAAGUUUUGACAUGCACAGACCUUGAGCAGGGGCCAAAUUUUUUCCUUGAUUUUGAAAAUGCCCAGCCUACAGAGUCUGAGAAGGAAAUUUAUAAUCAGGUGAAUGUAGUAUUAAAAGAUGCAGAAGGCAUCUUGGAGGACUUGCAAUCAUACAGAGGAGCUGGCCACGAAAUACGAGAGGCAAUCCAGCAUCCAGCAGAUGAGAAGUUGCAAGAGAAGGCAUGGGGUGCAGUUGUUCCACUAGUAGGCAAAUUAAAGAAAUUUUACGAAUUUUCUCAGAGGUUAGAAGCAGCAUUAAGAGGUCUUCUGGGAGCCUUAACAAGUACCCCAUAUUCUCCCACCCAGCAUCUAGAGCGAGAGCAGGCUCUUGCUAAACAGUUUGCAGAAAUUCUUCAUUUCACACUCCGAUUUGAUGAACUCAAGAUGACAAAUCCUGCCAUACAGAAUGAUUUCAGCUAUUAUAGAAGAACAUUGAGUCGUAUGAGGAUUAACAAUGUACCGGCAGAAGGAGAAAAUGAAGUAAAUAAUGAAUUGGCAAAUCGAAUGUCUUUGUUUUAUGCUGAGGCAACUCCAAUGCUGAAAACCUUGAGUGAUGCCACAACAAAAUUUGUAUCAGAGGUAAGCAUUGCCUAGGCAGGUACUCUGUGUUGUUAUUUAUCCCCCUGUUGCAGAUGUGAUCUCAGCAAGCCCAAGACAUUAAAUACCAUCUUGAAACCAACAGACUCCCAGAUGUAUGUGUUGAGUCCUGACUUUUUUCUGAGGCCCGCGUGUGCACACCUGUCCACGUAUUUGCAGUUUCUCUGGAGGGGAUGGUGGACACCUCAGUGAUAGCUGAUGGCACGGCCAAACCAAACUCUGGGUUGCCUUUUCCAACCCUGCCCUUUCUUUAGUUUUUGCUUUCUCAAUUAAUAGUACCAGUGCAGGCAAAAACUUACAACUUAUGUCAUCCUAAAUUCCUUUCUUUUUUUUUUUUUUUUUGAGACAGAGUUUCACUCUUGUUGCCCAGGCUGGAGUGCAAUGGCGCGAUCUCAGCUCACCACAACCUCCGCCUCCCGGGUUCAAGCGAUUCUCCUGCCUCAGCCUCGUUAGUAGCUGGGGUUACAGGCAUGUGCCACCACGCCUGGCUAAUUUUGUAUUUUUAGUAGAGACGGGGUUUCUCCAUGUUGGUCGGGGUGGUCUCGAACUCCCAACCUCAGGUGAUCCGCCUGCCUCAGCCUCCCAAAGUGCUGGGAUUAUAGGCAUGAGCCACCGCGCCUGGCCAUCAUCCUAAAUUCCUUUCUAUACCUCGCUCCCUACAUGUAUUCCAUCAAACAGUCUCAUUGGCUUUCCCUCCAAAAUACUAAUAUAUCAUGAAUCUGAAAACUUAAGUUACUUUCUUGCCACCAGCCACAUCAGACUUCUCAUCUGGAUUACUGCAUUCAUGUCCUGACCAUUCUUCCUCCACUCUUGCCCCAAUAUAGUCGUUUCUCCAUAGAGCAACCAAGUAAUCUUAAAACAUAAACCAUGUUCCCUCCCUCCUCCAUGUAAAAUGUUCCCAGUGACUUCCUAGUACCCUUAGGAUAAAAUCCAACUAUUGCAUAGCCUAUAAAACUCUACACCUUUGACCCCCUGUCUGCAUUGUUGCAGUUGUUCUUACAUUGCUGGAAUGCAGGUGCCUUUCAGAAGAGUACUGCCUUCGCUAUCUUGCUCAUAGCUGUAUCCCCAGUGCUUGGAACAGCUGCUUAGAGUCUAGUGCAUUAUUUAGAAAAUUAGGAGUAGGAACCAGGUUUUAAAGUUGCUAAUUUUUCAUAUUACGCUAAAUUUUAAAUUGUGCUUAAGUAAUAAUGUUUGUUACUUUUACUUUUUUUGUUCUUCAUAUACUUCUACAGAAUAAAAAUUUACCAAUAGAAAAUACCACAGAUUGUUUAAGCACCAUGGCUAGUGUAUGCAGAGUCAUGCUGGAAACACCGUGAGUAUCAGCUAAUCUUUUUCACUUUAACAGUGCUGUUGAGAUGACUGAUAUUUCAAAACAUGUUCAUAUAUGAACAUGUUUUAUCUGGAAGGUGGAAAGUAAGUAUAUUCCAAAUAUUGAAUGUUAAUAUAUGAACAAACAAAAUAAUUUGGCUAUUUAAUGUAACUUCUGGUUAAGUAUAAAAUAGAGUUAGUUGGUCUUCAGGUACCUCAGACCAGUCAGACUGACUCAGACUCUUAGUUGUCUUCUCAGAACAGAAAUGUGGUGGUGGUUUUUUGGUGACUGGGAUGUAGGAGAAGAACUUUAAAGCUCCUUGGUUAUACUUAACCAUAAAUGUUCUUUUUCCAUAUUUAGUAAAGAAUCUUACCCUUUUGCCAAAGGGCUGGAAUUAUUCUUCUGUUUAUCCCUUUUUCUCUCAAUUAUUAAUUGUCACUCUUUUUUUAUUUUUUCCAACAUGAACCUGAAUUCUCUUUUUUUUUUCCUCUCCUCUCUAAAGCAUAUAUGAUGUAUGAUACAGUGUGUCCUGGCUGGAUUUUUCCUGUUAGCAGGCAGAAAGAAUCCCUCCUGGAUUCCAGAAUAAUAAAUACAGUCAUGUGCUGCUUAAUGACGUUUUGGUCAACAAUGGGCCACAUAUAUGAUGGUCCAAAGCACUAUACUGUACAUCAUCUCAUUGGAAAACCUUAUGAAAUAGGAGGGCAACUAUCAUCAUAAUCCUCUUCCUUCCCCCCACCACCAACUUCAGGGAGUGAGGUCCUGGGAAAUGAAGGGACACUAUCCAUGUGCUUGGAUGUCUCUAACCUGGUUCCGUACUCUUUCCGCUAUGAUAUACUGCCUUCUAUAUAUAGACAAAAGUUCAAUUUUCUUUUUCACAAAUGAGAAGAGAAUAUGAUUGAGUUUUAGUAAAACUGAUAUCCAGUAAUACUGUAAUGUAUUUAGAUCAAGUUAGCACCUAAAUAGCAAACCUGCUUGCUCUAUUAAGCUAGUGAUUUUUCAUCAUAGGUGGUAACAGCCUUUACGUAGCAUCCAUUCUCUAAAAUUGUUGCCAUUGGUCUAGCAGAGGAGCAGUACACUAAUGUGGGUGCCGAUAUUACAGAAACCAGAAUACGUGGGUGAUGACUGCUCCACUCACCAUCUUCUCGUCUCUCUGGGGAUCUCAUUGUGGAGUAAGGGGCAUAAUGUUAGUAUCCCUUUCAGAGAUCAAAGGGGCAAGUCAGCAUCAGCUGAAAGUUGAAUCACCUCAUUAAAGAAUUUUGUAUCUCCUUCAGGGGGUUGAUUUGGAAAGGAAAACAGACAUAAGAUUUGAAUGUAUCAGUGUGGCUACUUGUGAACAUACUGCAUUUAACUAAUUGAUAGAAAUUUGAAUAAAAUAUUUCAGAAGAGGUUUUUCUUGUCUGUGUGUGUUUUUAAAAAUAAUUUUGUAAUGCACUUCUUCCAUGCAUAUCUUAUCUACUCUUCAGGGAAUACAGAAGCAGAUUUACAAAUGAAGAGACAGUGUCAUUCUGCUUGAGGGUAAUGGUGGGUGUCAUAAUACUCUAUGACCACGUACAUCCAGUGGGAGCAUUUGCUAAAACUUCCAAAAUUGAUAUGAAAGGUUGUAUCAAAGUUCUUAAGGACCAACCUCCUAAUAGUGUAGAAGGUCUUCUAAAUGCUCUCAGGUACACAACAAAACAUUUGAAUGAUGAGACUACCUCCAAGCAAAUUAAAUCCAUGCUGCAAUAACAAUUCUGGAAUAAGCACCUGCUGUAGACAGAAGACAGUAUUCUGCAAUGACUGAGAAUGCAGUUUUUUAGUGAUUGCAAUUACUAUCUCAUUUAUUCUUGCUUUUAUUUCUUUCCUCUGUUCCUCUUCCCUCUUUUUUAAUCAUGUUCUUGUUCUUAAGACUUCUUUUCUGUGCCAAAAUCAGUAAAGUUACACUCUGAAGGGAUAUCAUCCUUUCAAAUGGGCCAUCUAAGGCAGCUAAUUAUGCAUUGCAUUGGGGUCUCUACUGAGAAAAAUUCUGUGACUUGAACUAAAUAUUUUUAAAUGUGGAUUUUUUUUGAAACUAAUAUUUAAUAUUGCUUCUCCUGCAUGGCAAAACUGCCUAUUCUGCUAUUUAAAAACCCUCAAUGACUUUAUUUUCUACUGCCGCCUUUUUCAUGUGCAACCAAAAUGAAAAUGUUUAAAUUAACUGUGUUGUACAAAUGGUACCCAACACAAACUUUUUUUAAAUUAGUAAUACUUUUGUUUAAAGUUUUAAGUUUGCAUUUUGACUUUUUUUGUAAGGAUGUAUGUUUUGUGUUUAACCUUUAUUAACGUUAAAAACUGUGAUGUGUGCGUAGAAUAUUACGUAUGCAUGUUCAUGUCUAAAGAAUGGCUGUUGAUGAUAAAAUAAAAAUCAGCUUUCAUUUUUCUAA